Molecule: long non-coding RNA, 4664 nt
Organism: Phacochoerus africanus (Common warthog)
Lineage: Eukaryota; Metazoa; Chordata; Mammalia; Artiodactyla; Suidae
Exons: 15
Source: RefSeq, a predicted model, not a curated record
UACAUACCAGGGAGAAGCCACUCUUACUUCAGCACCCUGGACCCUCAGGAGGAAAAAAGGAAGGAGACUGUGGCUAUACACGCUCUGAUCUCUGAUGAAUUUGAACUGGCAACAGACAGCAAGGACACCUUUGUUAAGGAAUAAGUUUCAGAAUAUCUCAUCAGUUCUCAGAAGUUAAGUGACUUAGAAGAGGGUCGCAUGGAUGUUGGGGUGGGAGCUGUUUAUUUAAUAAUGGUUCACCUGUGGAGGAGGGACUAAGAGGGCAAGAGGACCCUGAGAAAUUCUCAAAGGUGACAUUCUGCAAAUUCAAGAGUAGUCUUAAUUCAGAGGAAGAUGAAUAGUCAAGUAAGUAAAGCAGUUCAGCACUGCACAUGCUACAAGAUGCUUAUUUUUUCCAUGUUUGAAAUUGAAUAGUACUUCAUUAGGUGUUCAGGCAAUAGAAAUUAAAAAAAAAAAGUUUAUGGUAACUUGACUACAGUUGAAAUGCAUUGAAAUGUCAAAGAUUGAUGUGCAUGGUAAUUGAUUUCAUAUCGUCAUGCCGUAUUUAGACAACUAUAAACAUUGCUAAUCUAAUGUUUCAAGGUACUUAUGAACAAUUAGCGAUUCUGCACUAGCAUCUCAAACACACUUUUGAUGAUAAUAAUAUAUUGAGAUAAGUUCUAUGAAUCCUAAAAGGGCUGUUGUGUAAAUGAUGACUAGAAAAACAAUUAGAGUUUCUGUUUCCAGUGAAAUGAUUAUGUCUUUGCAAAUAAAAACAGGAGGAUUCUAGUUGUGAUCAUGCAAGAAUUCAGCACAAUUCUCAGGGAGACUACAUUGCUUUACAAUAAUAUACUUGUUUAAAAUAAAGGAACAUGACAUCUGCCUUUCUAACUUUAUGGACCUUCUGCUACUGCUAGUGACUAACUUGGCUGUUUGUGCAGCCUUUACAGUUUCCAGAGUGCUUUAUCUCCUGCUAGAAGGGUGUUAAUGGCCAACGAUAUAGAAUGGAAUGGAAGUGUGUAUUUGGGUACCCAAACAUAAAUACAUGCGGACUUUCAUUUGAAAAUAUUUAAAUGCCUUAUACAUACUGACUUCACUGAUGCUUUUUGUGCAUGUAAAGAAAACCAAUUAUCUGUGGAGAAAACUUGACUGGGUGGAGGGAAAUUAAAUUGGUGUUUAAAGACUUCCUUAAACAGCAGUAGCUAGGGAAAGCGCCAAUAACAUUUUAGCUCAGGAUUGUAAUGACUUGGCCAUAUUAAUAAAUCAUGCUUUAUCCUGACUUUUAUCAAAAGACUUGGAUGGGGAAGACUGCACGUGACAGAGGAGGAGAGAAGGGCACUUUCAGCAAAGCUGUGCCUGUGUCAGGCCACUCUCCCAGUGCCUGUGACGCUCUGGAAACAGCUGUUGGAGAAGUCAGGUUGCAUGCGAGCAGAUGAAUUCCACAGCUGGAACGGAGGCACAGAGCAGUAAACACAGUGGAGCCCAUCUCUGCCAUGGUGAGAGGGGGCAUCAGAAGUGACAACAAUGAUAAGGACCCAAGGGCCGUCCUUCUGACAAGUUUCAGCACUGAGUGUCUCCAGGAAAAAGGGGUUCCAUAAGAAGUGGCAUCCUCCUCCAGUUGAAAGAUUCUUGGGCUGAUGGAGUAAGUGAGUGACGGAGUGGGUUGCCAACUGUAGUUACUCCACUCAAUGCGGAAUGGCUGCAGGGAAUAUAUUCUGAUGUGCCCAAAGAAGUCUGCCCAGGGUGAAACAAAUACCUUUGAGGUUUAAAUCAGGAAGAGAGGCUGUUUCUACAGGUGUCAUAGAAAAGUCGAUGCUGAGCCAUGGAUUAUUGGAUCCCAUAGAACCACGGAGACUUGGCAGUAAAAUCCUUCCAGAGGCAGACGGUGUUCCUAGCUUUGGAAACGUACCUCCCAGGGGAAGUGAGCUGAGGAACAUUUUAUGCAUCAUUCAUCCAGUUAUGAGCCCUUGCUGCUCCAUCUCUGCACAGAUGUUGAAACAACAGCAACAACAAAAAUUGUUUAUAAUGUAUAUUCUAACUUUGGAUCAUCUGGUUAACGCCCUGAUGCUAUUACCCCGAAAGACAAUGCUCUGUCAGAAAAAACCAUUAAAGCUCGCUGCUGCAUGAUUAGUAAAAUAAUAGGGAAAGUACAACAUUCUGGAUGUCCCAUCUAAUGAGUUGGCAGUUACAGAACAGAAACAGAGCAAUGAGACCGCAUGGUUACAUUUUCCCAGUGCCACCAACUGGGAGUUAAGCUGACUAACAUUUCGAAAGCCCAGCCCAUUUCAUUCACAGCAGGCAUGGCAGAGCUGCAGUUGACCGUCUAAUGGUGUUUGUAAUUGAUGAUGAUGACUGUGCUGCUGCUGUUGAUGAGAGCACCAUUAUCCAGUGCUCCCAAGUCAUGGCUUUUGUGUCUAGGACCUCAGGCUCUGCUGCUUCCCGGUGAUUCCAUUGCCUCUGCAGCAAUAACAGAUCAUUUAUUAGACACCUACUAUGUGCUAAACAACUGAUAUGUAUUCUUGAAUCACAACAGCAUUAUAAGCGGUUGACUGAUUGUACCUGCCAGCUGGCUAAUAUCAUAAUUAACAAAGUUGCUACUACGUGUGCAAAGUUUAAUCGAAAAAUUUGCCAGUGCUAUGAUGGCGUUGUCACAAAGAUCACAAGGGACUCGGAGUCGACUUUUGCUCAAGGUGGAACUGCAAAGCUGUGUAGGCAAAAUGAGAAAUCUUGAACUUGUUCAGCCAAAGGUUAUGCUUCAUAUCACCCACCAGGGAGGAUCAUCUCUCAUGAAAACUUUCAAAUUUGAUUUUGAAAAUUAUUCAGAAAAAUUUAAGCCAUGCUCUCUCCCAGUGUAGGAAAGAAAAUACUCUGGAGAUUCCUAUAAUUCAAAGAAAAUGGACUGGAGUAACAUCUGAGUUCUCAUGCAGCCAGAAUCCUCUUGAGAAGAACAGCCAGGAGGCUAAUAAUGGAGGGGCCAGAGAAGGAGGCCAGUGCUCCGAGGGUUAUCUCACAGCCUCAGAUGCUGGAUAAGCCGAAGGAGGCAGAAUCGCUUCUGGAUGACAUUCAGAAAGGCCGGAGUGAUUAUUGGAAGAGAAAAGCCUGCCUAUUCUUUUCCAAGGUGCCUGACUAUUCCCCGGGCCCGCCCGUCCGGCCACUGAUGAAUGAUUAGCCACCUGCCUCAGACAAAGGAUGCCCUGGGAGCCUCCCCACACCUACGGCCGCUUUGAAGGCUCUGCCAAGCUCACUUUUAAUCACGAGAAAGGAAUUACCCACAUGGAGUCAGCAGAAAAUGAGAAAGUAGAGCUCGUGCUGCGAAUCAUUCCAGCAAGUGCCAAGGGGCUAGUUGAGGAAUGGCUUCAACGAGGAAAAUGAGCUGUGGUUGGAUUUCGAAUUCUUAAAGAAGGAGGACGAAUCAUGUUAGAAUCCCAGAGAGAACAAAUAGACUCCUGAUACGUGAAGCCAGCGCGUGAUUGAUUAUGACGUUUUCUUAAUACAUGAGCUGCGCCCGCGCUCUCUUUGGAAAAUGCUUCUCAGACAGAGCGCCUUGCUCCCGGCAGAGGCUACCUUGGGAGAAAAUGGAAUAUUGUACUUAACUCCUCGUGUUACCACUAUCGAUCGAGCCUUCUCUCUUGCUGCUUCUAGACCGUGAGCUUUUUAUGGAAAGUGCUGGAACUCAUCUACAUCCCCAGCACCUAUCACAGGGCUGGUCACACAGUGGAUCAACGUGCAGUGGCAGGAUGAAUGGACAUGUGUUUGCGGGAUGAACGGAUGUGUAAAUGAAUGCAUGUCUGGCUCCUUGCCCUUGCGAUGCUUUGUUCUUUUCUAGCAGAGCUAAUUGACUCCCGGUUAGAGCUCGAUGACAGUCUUGUCCUCUGUCACCUGGAGCCUAAGAAAUCUACUGCCGCAGCUCAGGUAUUGAGUCCACCUUGGCAUUCCUGAUUCUCGGCUGUCGUCGGUCUCUGUCUGACUUCUCAUGAAAGCACAGGGGACAUUUACUGUUCAUGAAUACCCAGAUCCCAUUUUACCUUCUUUCAGAAACACCUGCUCCCUCCUCUCGUUUGGGGUGAUUCUGAUUAGGGUGACACUCCUUUCCUCCCUCCAGCCCCAGGAGUGAACCGAGGGUCCAGGUAUGAACAAUCAGGGUUCCCCGUCCUCUGGCCAGAGUAACUGCUUCAUUCAGAAAAGAACACAUCACUCCUCAGAACACCUUCCAGUGACUCUUAGGACUUCCGUUGAGCCAAUAAGGGAAAAGUAGCUCUUUCCCACUGGGAUGCCAGGCUAGUUCAGUGUGAGCCUCCAGCCGCUGGUGGUCAUCUUGCUCCUGCAGGAGAAUAACCUGCCUGAGAAUGAAGCCACAUUAGGAAGGGGUGUUUUAAGAGAUGCAGAGAGAGGUAUUCUUGACAGCACAAUGUACAUCUAAUUUAAGAGUUCAUCCAUGCUUGGAACCCAGUCUGCUUAUUGGACUUGCACCUAUAUAAUCCAAUAAACCCAGCCCGCCACCCCUUGUGUGUGUGUGUGGGGGGGGAUCUGACCACCAGCUUGGACUGCCAUGCAAUCCACUGCCAUGUUUGUUGAGUCCUUUGCUUUAAGGACCUAACCUAACCCUAACCUAACUUGUUCCUAGUACAGUUUAUACCCCUCUGACCAGUGUCUGCCCCAUAUUGGUGGUGAUGUGUAGUCUCUAG